Eriocheir sinensis (Chinese mitten crab) is the source of this 3270-nucleotide long non-coding RNA. RefSeq lists it as uncharacterized. The record is from RefSeq and is a predicted model, not a curated record. Lineage: Eukaryota; Metazoa; Arthropoda; Malacostraca; Decapoda; Varunidae. The transcript has 5 exons.
CACUGUGGUGUGUCUGUGGGCCUGGCCGUGGGUGCAGGCAGCAGCUGCAGGCGGCGUCCAGCAGGCACACGGCCCCUCUCCAGGCCUGUGGGCAGGGCACUCACCCGCAGAGUGCCGGCACCUUCUUCUUCCUCUUCAUUAAUCCUAUGCUACUCACUCUUCAUUCAUUCUUCUCCAGACCUCUGAGGCCCAGCAUGCUUUCCUUCCUCCCUCUCUGGUCUUCCUUCUUCUGUAUUCUUCAGUUAUUUUUCUCUGGGUGUUUCCGUCAAGAGUGUUCCACGUGGCACACUGCUGUACUGCCUGUGCCUUUAUCUCCCCUCAGCCCCAGCACAGUGCUCAGCCUUCCCUGCUGGAGCCACUUGCCCAUCCAUCACCCAGCCACUGGCCAACAAUACAAGGCUUGACAAGCACCACUGGAGUGUUCCUGCCUUGACCCAUUACAUAUUCUGCCUUCAAUUCCCUCGGGGCAGCAACCCUAACAAGCCAUCACAGCUCCCAGGCCGGCACUCUGCACCAGUGGUCUCUGCUGGGCCGGGUUUAACAAGUCCAUUGCAGCUCCCAGGCCGGCACUCUGCACCAGUGGUCUCUGCUGGGCCGGGUUUAACAAGUCCAUCACAGCUCCCAGGCCGGCACUCUGCCCCAGUGGUCUCUGCUGGGCCGGGUUUAACAAGUCCAUCACAGCUCCCAGGCCGGCACUCUGCACCAGUGGUCUCUGCUGGGCCGGGUUUAACAAGUCCAUCACAGCUCCCAGGCCGGCACUCUGCACCAGUGGUCUCUGCUGGGCCGGGUUUAACAAUCCAUCACAGCUCCCAGGCCGGCACUCUGCCCCAGUGGUCUCUGCUGGGCCGGGUUUAACAAGUCCAUCACAGCUCCCAGGCCGGCACUCUGCACCAGUGGUCUCUGCUGGGUCGGGUUUAACAAGUCCAUUGCAGCUCCCAGGCCAGCACUCUGCCCCAGUGGUCUCUGCUGGGCCGGGUUUAACAAGCCAUCACAGCUCCCAGGCCGGCACUCUGCCCCAGUGGUCUCUGCUGGGUCGGGUUUAACAAGUCCAUUGCAGCUCCCAGGCCGGCACUCUGCCCCAGUGGUCUCUGCUGGGCUGGGUUUAACAAGCCAUCACAGCUCCCAGGCUGGCACUCUGCCCCAGUGGUCUCUGCUGGGCCGGGUUUCUUGUGGAGCGCAGGGAAACUUGACAAACCCUCACACAGCGUCCCCUUGGUAAUCCUGCUGAUAGUCUGUUGUGGCGGCCUGAGUCACCGCUGCUGCACUGUGCCGGGGCAAGGUGGCUCGGGGCAGACGGCACUGUUCACUGUGGUGUUGGCUGCUGCACUGUGCCAGGGCAAGGUGGCUCGGGGCAGAUGGCACUGUUCACUGUGGUGUUGGCUGCUGCACUGUGCCAGGGCAAGGUGGCUCGGGGCAGACGGCACUGUUCACUGUGGUGUUGGCUGCUGCACUGUGCCAGGGCAAGGUGGCUCGGGGCAGACGGCACUGUUCACUGUGGUGUUGGCUGCUGCACUGUGCCGGGGCAAGGUGGCUCGGGGCAGACGGCACUGUUCACUGUGGUGUUGGCUGCUGCACUGUGCCGGGGCAAGGUGGCUCGGGGCAGACAGCACUGUUCACUGUGGUGUCGGUGCAUCCCUCAGCAGUCAGCCACAACACGGUGCCAGUCCUCCCCAGGUGGUGUUGAUGACUGGCUCCCCAUCACACACACACAGCAGCACAACACACCACCUCAGAAGUGGGUCUUCAUGUGCCCGGCAAUGUCCGCCUUCGUGUUAAAGUGCUUCCCACACACUUGAACUCUCUCAGGCCAGAGUGUCUGAACAUGUGACGCUCCAGGGUUUGCUUCUCUCUGAACCUUUCUCCACAUUCCAGACACUCAUGAGGCCUCUCACCGGUGUGUGUAAGGGUGUGUGUGUGUUGAGGCCACCCUUCUGUGUAAACCUUUGGCCACAAACUUCACAUUCAUGAGGCCUUUCACCAGUGUGUGUAAGGGCAUGUGUGUUGAGGCAACCCUUCUGUGUAAACCUUUUGCCACACUCUUGGCAUUCAUGGGGUCCUUCACCAGUGUGUGUAAGGGUGUGUGUGUUUAGGUCACUGUCUUUCUUUCACUAGUCUUUUCAUUCCUUUCUUUCUUUUGUGUUCUUGUUGUUUCUCCAAGUCUGUCUUUCUCUCUUCGUCUUCUCUUUCGUCUUGUUCUUCAGCCAGGGCGGGGUUGCCAAACACGUCCUCCACCGCCACCACAUACAGCAGCACCACACAACACCUCAGGGGAAGUGGAUCUUCAUGUGCCUGGCAAUAUUCUGCUUGGUCUUGAAAUGUUUUAGACAAACAUCACACUUGAACUCUCUCAGAUCAGUGUGUGUGACAACGUGGCUGUUCAAUGCAGACUUAGAAAAGAACCUUCUGUCACACUCAAGGCAUUCAUGAGGUCUUUCCCCAGUGUGUGUAAGGGUGUGUGUGUUAAGGUGACUCUUCUGACUGAACACUUUGCCACACUCUUGGCAUUCAUGAGGUCUUUCACCAGUGUGUGUAAGGGUGUGUGUGUUAAGGUCACUCUUCCUACUGAACACUUUGCCACACUCUUGGCAUUCAUGAGGUCUUUCACCAGUGUGUGUAAGGGUGUGAGUGUUAAGGUUACUCUUCCUACUGAACACUUUGCCACACUCUUGGCAUUCAUGAGGUCUUUCACCAGUGUGUGUAAGGGUGUGAGUGUUAAGGUUACUCUUCCUACUGAACACUUUGCCACACUCUUGGCAUUCAUGAAGUCUUUCACCAGUGUGUGUAAGGGUGUGAGUGUUAAGGUUACUCUUCCUACUGAACACUUUGCCACACUCUUGGCAUUCAUGAGGUCUUUCACCAGUGUGUGUAAGGGUGUGAGUGUUAAGGUUACUCUUCUGAGUGAACACUUUGCCACACUCUUGGCAUUCAUGAGGUCUUUCACCAGUGUGUGUAAGGGUGUGUGUGUUAAGGUGACUCUUCUGACCAAACACUUUGCCACACUCUUGGCAUUCAUGAGGUCUUUCACCAGUGUGUGUAAGGGUGUGUGUGUUAAGGUUACUCUUCUGAGUGAACACUUUGCCACACUCUUGGCAUUCAUGAGGUCUUUCACCAGUGUGUGUAAGGGUGUGUGUGUUAAGGUUACUCUUCUGAGUGAACACUUUGCCACACUCUUGGCAUUCAUGAGGUCUUCCACCAGAGUAUGUGGGUGUGUUUGUUGAGGUCACCCUUCCCAGGGAGUCUUUUCCCACACUCUUGGCACUCAUGCUUCCC